RNAcentral lists this transfer RNA (78 nucleotides) under Methanococcaceae archaeon. RNAcentral describes it as "tRNA-Glu". It matches the Rfam family "tRNA". From Rfam's summary of the family: Transfer RNA (tRNA) molecules are approximately 80 nucleotides in length. Their secondary structure includes four short double-helical elements and three loops (D, anti-codon, and T loops). Lineage: Archaea; Methanobacteriati; Methanobacteriota; Methanococci; Methanococcales; Methanococcaceae. The record is from RNAcentral.
GCCCCAGUGGUGUAGCCCGGCCUAUCAUGCGGGCCUUUCGAGCCUGCGACUCGGGUUCAAAUCCCGACUGGCGCACCA